RNAcentral lists this ribosomal RNA (498 nucleotides) under uncultured bacterium. RNAcentral's name for it is "bacterial SSU rRNA". It matches the Rfam family "Bacterial small subunit ribosomal RNA", at positions 1 to 464 of the family's 1533-position model. The record is from RNAcentral.
UAACNCGACGCGCCGNUNUAUGCCUCUAGCAUUUAGCCGUUGGUCUUAGUCUCACACUGGCCGCUCAGUUUGUACAGCCUAACACAUGCAAGUCGAACGGUAGCACAGAGAGCUUGCUCUCGGGUGACGAGUGGCGGACGGGUGAGUAAUGUCUGGGAAACUGCCCGAUGGAGGGGGAUAACUACUGGAAACGGUAGCUAAUACCGCAUAACGUCGCAAGACCAAAGAGGGGGACCUUCGGGCCUCUUGCCAUCGGAUGUGCCCAGAUGGGAUUAGCUUGUAGGUGAGGUAACGGCUCACCUAGGCGACGAUCCCUAGCUGGUCUGAGAGGAUAGACCAGCCACACUGGAACUGAGACACGGUCCAGACUCCUACGGGAGGCAGCAGUGGGGAAUAUUGCACAAUGGGCGCAAGCCUGAUGCAGCCAUGCCGCGUGUAUAGAAGAAGGCCUUCGGGUUGUAAAGUACUUUUUCAGGCGGGGAGGAAGGGAGUGAGGUU